This 67-nucleotide transfer RNA is filed under the name Euaspis polynesia. Its description in RNAcentral is "tRNA-Ala". The record is from RNAcentral. Lineage: Eukaryota; Metazoa; Arthropoda; Insecta; Hymenoptera; Megachilidae.
UGGAUAUUAGUUAAAUUUAAUAACAUUUUAAUUUGCAAUUAAAAAUUUUAUACUAAUAAAUAUCUUA